This 775-nucleotide ribosomal RNA is filed under the name uncultured bacterium. RNAcentral describes it as "bacterial SSU rRNA". It matches the Rfam family "Bacterial small subunit ribosomal RNA", at positions 8 to 796 of the family's 1533-position model. The record is from RNAcentral.
AGAGUUUGAUCAUGGCUCAGAAUGAACGUUGGCGGCGUGGAUUAGGCAUGCAAGUCGAACGGGCCUGGUUGCAAAACCAGGUCAGUGGCGCAAGGGUGAGUAAGGCGACGGCAACCAACCCCAUGGUUGGGCAUAGCCGCGGGAAACUGCGGGUAAUUCCCAGCGAUGUUCGCGUCGGGCAUCCGGUGCGAACCAAAGUUUCGGCGCCGUGGGACGGGCCGUCGUGGUAUUAGGUCGUUGGCGGGGUAAUGGCCCACCAAGCCUCUGAUGCCUACCGGGCGUGCGAGCGUGGCCCGGCACACUGGGACUGAGACACUGCCCAGACUCCUACGGGAGGCUGCAGUCGAGAAUCUUCGGCAAUGGGCGCAAGCCUGACCGAGCGACGCCGCGUGGAGGAUGAAGGCCUUCGGGUUGUAAACUCCUGUCGAGGGGGAGGAAGGCGCAAGCUUGACCUAUCCCUGGAGGAAGCACGGGCUAAGUUCGUGCCAGCAGCCGCGGUAAGACGAACCGUGCGAACGUUAUUCGGAAUCACUGGGCUUAAAGCGCGUGUAGGCGGAUGGGGACGUCGGUUGCUGAAAUCCCCCGGCUCAACCGGGGAACGGGCGCCGAAACGCCCCGUCUGGAGGGACGUAGGGGGACCUGGAACUUCCGGUGGAGCGGUGAAAUGCGUUGAGAUCGGAAGGAACGCCCGUGGCGAAAGCGAGGUCCUGGACGUUUUCUGACGCUGAGACGCGAAAGCUAGGGUAGCGAACGGGAUUAGAUACCCCCGUAGUCC